This 549-nucleotide ribosomal RNA is filed under the name uncultured Glomeraceae. RNAcentral describes it as "SSU rRNA". It matches the Rfam family "Eukaryotic small subunit ribosomal RNA", at positions 548 to 1098 of the family's 1831-position model. Lineage: Eukaryota; Fungi; Glomeromycota; Glomeromycetes; Glomerales; Glomeraceae. The record is from RNAcentral.
UUGGAGGGCAAGUCUGGUGCCAGCAGCCGCGGUAAUUCCAGCUCCAAUAGCGUAUAUUAAAGUCGUUGCAGUUAAAAAGCUCGUAGUUGAAUUUCGGGAUCAAAUAAUCGGUCGUGCCUCCGGUACGUACUGGUUUUAUUGGUUCCUCCCUUCUGACGAACCAUGAUGUCAUUAAUUUGAUGCGGUGGAGAAUCAGGACUGUUACCUUGAAAAAAUUAGAGUGUUUAAAGCAGGCUAACGCUUGAAUACAUUAGCAUGGAAUAAUGAAAUAGGACGUUCGACCCUAUUUUGUUGGUUUCUAGGAUCGAUGUAAUGAUUAAUAGGGAUAGUUGGGGGCAUUAGUAUUCAAUUGUCAGAGGUGAAAUUCUUGGAUUUAUUGAAGGCUAACUACUGCGAAAGCAUUUGCCAAGGAUGUUUUCAUUAAUCAAGAACGAAAGUUAGGGGAUCGAAGACGAUCAGAUACCGUCGUAGUCUUAACCAUAAACUAUGCCGACUAGGGAUCGGAUGAUGUUAAUUUUUUAAUGACUCAUUCGGCGCCUUACGGGAAAC